UUCCCUGUGUUUUUGGGGCCUGUCAGCCGUGGCAGUCUCCCCUCGUAGCUGUGGAAGAGCGUGUCCUUGUGUACGGGCAAAGCUGGCACCAUUUAACUGGUGUCAGAUUCUGACUUGCACAAGUAACCUUC
Molecule: small nucleolar RNA, 131 nt
Organism: Phyllostomus discolor (pale spear-nosed bat)
Lineage: Eukaryota; Metazoa; Chordata; Mammalia; Chiroptera; Phyllostomidae
Product: small nucleolar RNA SNORA24
Exons: 1
Source: RefSeq, a predicted model, not a curated record